This 622-nucleotide ribosomal RNA is filed under the name uncultured bacterium. RNAcentral's name for it is "bacterial SSU rRNA". It matches the Rfam family "Bacterial small subunit ribosomal RNA", at positions 202 to 842 of the family's 1533-position model. The record is from RNAcentral.
AAAAUUUCCGGAGGUAUACGAUGGACCCGCGUCUGAUUAGCCAGUUGGCAGGGUAACGGCCUACCAAAGCAACGAUCAGUAGCCGGCCUGAGAGGGUGGACGGCCACAUUGGGACUGAGACACGGCCCAAACUCCUGCGGGAGGCAGCAGUGGGGGAUAUUGCACAAUGGGGGAAACCCUGAUGCAGCGACGCCGCGUGAGUGAAGAAGCAUUUCGGUGUGUAAAGCUCUAUCAGCAGGGAAGAAGAAUGACGGUACCUGACUAAGAAGCCCCGGCUAACUACGUGCCAGCAGCCGCGGUAAUACGUAGGGGGCAAGCGUUAUCCGGAUUUACUGGGUGUAAAGGGAGCGUAGACGGCAAUGCAAGCCAGAUGUGAAAACCCGCAGCUCAACUGGGGGAGUGCAUUUGGAACUGUGUAGCUGGAGUGCAGGAGAGGUAAGCGGAAUUCCUGGUGUAGCGGUGAAAUGCGUAGAUAUCAGGAGGAACACCAGUGGCGAAGGCGGCUUACUGGGCUGUAACUGACGUUGAGGCUCGAAAGCGUGGGGAGCAAACAGGAUUAGAUACCCUGGUAGUCCACGCUGUAAACGAUGAAUACUAGGUGUCGGGGGUUUACGGACGCCCG